CGGGAGGCAGCAGUGGGGAAUAUUGCACAAUGGGCGCAAGCCUGAUGCAGCCAUGCCGCGUGUAUGAAGAAGGCCUUCGGGUUGUAAAGUACUUUCAGUCGUGAGGAAGGUGGUGUUGUUAAUAGCAGCAUCAUUUGACGUUAGCGACAGAAGAAGCACCGGCUAACUCCGUGCCAGCAGCCGCGGUAAUACGGAGGGUGCGAGCGUUAAUCGGAAUUACUGGGCGUAAAGCGCAUGCAGGUGGUGGAUUAAGUCAGAUGUGAAAGCCCGGGGCUCAACCUCGGAACCGCAUCUGAAACUGGUUCACUAGAGUACUGUAGAGGGGGGUAGAAUUUCAGGUGUAGCGGUGAAAUGCGUAGAGAUCUGAAGGAAUACCGGUGGCGAAGGCGGCCCCCUGGACAGAUACUGACACUCAGAUGCGAAAGCGUGGGGAGCAAACAGGAUUAGAUACCCUGGUAGUCCACGCCGUAAACGAUGUCUACUUGGAGGUUGUGGCCUUGAGCCGUGGCUUUCGGAGCUAACGCGUUAAGUAGACCGCCUGGGGAGUACGGUCGCAAGAUUAAAACUCAAAUGAAUUGACGGGGGCCCGCACAAGCGGUGGAGCAUGUGGUUUAAUUCGAUGCAACGCGAAGAACCUUACCUACUCUUGACAUCUACAGGAUCCUGCGGAGACGCGGGAGUGCCUUCGGGAACUGUAAGACAGGUGCUGCAUGGCUGUCGUCAGCUCGUGUUGUGAAAUGUUGGGUUAAGUCCCGCAACGAGCGCAACCCUUAUCCUUGUUUGCCAGCAAGUAAUGGUGGGAACUCCAGGGAGACUGCCGGUGAUAAACCGGAGGAAGGUGGGGACGACGUCAAGUCAUCAUGGCCCUUACGAGUAGGGCUACACACGUGCUACAAUGGCGCAUACAGAGGGCAGCAAGCUAGCGAUAGUGAGCGAAUCCCAAAAAGUGCGUCGUAGUCCGGAUUGGAGUCUGCAACUCGACUCCAUGAAGUCGGAAUCGCUAGUAAUCGUAGAUCAGAAUGCUACGGUGAAUACGUUCCCGGGCCUUGUACACACCGCCCGUCACACCAUGGGAGUGGGCUGCAAAAGAACGUGGGUAGUUUAACCUUUCGGGGAGGACGCUCACCACUUGGUCCCG
This 1138-nucleotide ribosomal RNA is filed under the name Vibrio anguillarum. Its description in RNAcentral is "bacterial SSU rRNA". It matches the Rfam family "Bacterial small subunit ribosomal RNA", at positions 342 to 1471 of the family's 1533-position model. Lineage: Bacteria; Pseudomonadati; Pseudomonadota; Gammaproteobacteria; Vibrionales; Vibrionaceae. The record is from RNAcentral.